Octopus sinensis (East Asian common octopus) is the source of this 165-nucleotide long non-coding RNA. RefSeq lists it as uncharacterized. NCBI's taxonomy places the organism in Eukaryota, Metazoa, Mollusca, Cephalopoda, Octopoda, Octopodidae. The record is from RefSeq and is a predicted model, not a curated record. The transcript is spliced from 3 exons.
UGGUUGCGUGGUAAGAAUCUUGCUUUUCAACUAGAUGGUUUUGGAGUUCAGUCCCAUCGUGUGGCACUUGGGCAAGCGUCUUCUACUAUAGCUUCAGGCUAACCAAAGCCUUGUGAAAGGAUUUGGUAGAGGAAAACUGAAAGAAGCCCAUCAUGUGUGUGUGUG